Molecule: microRNA precursor, 57 nt
Organism: Astatotilapia calliptera (eastern happy)
Lineage: Eukaryota; Metazoa; Chordata; Actinopteri; Cichliformes; Cichlidae
Source: Ensembl
AUCACUUCAGGGGACUGAACCACUGACAAUUUGUGGCUCAUUCUGUUGAUGUGCUUU